This 607-nucleotide long non-coding RNA is filed under the name Serinus canaria (Common canary). RNAcentral's name for it is "lncRNA (ENSSCAG00000000017.1)". Lineage: Eukaryota; Metazoa; Chordata; Aves; Passeriformes; Fringillidae. The record is from RNAcentral.
CGGGGACGGGAGGGAAGACGCCGUGUGUGUUGCCGUAGGAUUUUUCCACUUUGAGACCUAUCAGGACCAGUUGCUACGGUUCGGGCGGCGGUGGCCGCGAUGCGGCGGGAGGGGGGAAGAGGGCAUCUCCCUCCAAAAGUCGAGCAACAAAUGGCAGCGGUGGCGGCAGCCGGGCUGCAGGACAGUCGCGGUGCCCGCUGCGCCCAGAUACUGAGCUUGUUGUGGUCAGUUGAUGCAGAGGUAGCCUGACUGCAGAGGUGGAAAGUUUGUGGUCGUGAAGAUUGGAGAUUGGUGAGAGGCUUAUGCAAAAUCAUAAUGAAAACACCUUGAGGAUGGAUGUUAUUUGUACUGAUUUGAACAGAGGAUAUUUCCAGAUGGGAAGUGAGGGGAAAUGUGACAUCUUCUCCCUUGUGAGUGAGGUUUCCAAAGGGCUGAAAAGCAAGGAAAAUGGAAAGCAAAAAGUGAAGUUGUCAGGUGGAGAAGAAAAGCAUCGUCCAUGGAUCUGGACUGUUUAGAAAAGAAAUGUAGAGUUAACAUCUGAAAUCUGAUGUGGUCUUCCUUUCCAGAAAAAAAUACUGUUUCUGGCAUUCAUGUUGGGAGAGAGGAG